Long non-coding RNA from Alnus glutinosa, 1660 nucleotides. RefSeq lists it as uncharacterized. The transcript has 3 exons. The record is from RefSeq and is a predicted model, not a curated record. NCBI's taxonomy places the organism in Eukaryota, Viridiplantae, Streptophyta, Magnoliopsida, Fagales, Betulaceae.
UUUCUCUCACUUUCCAUUUCUCUCUUCUUCCUCUCUUUCUUCUUCACAUGCCUGAGAGAGACCGAAAAUGAGAGCUUCUGAGAGAGAGAAAACUUGCAGAGAUUGAGAGAGUGAUCGCUGAGAGUUCGUGAGGGAGAUGGAGAGGCCGUGAUGCAGACAACCCGUGAGAGAAGAACCAGGAACCCGUAGCAGAUCCGACCGACUGGAGUGUUGGGUUUGGCGGAUCGCCGGUGGGUCGACCCCUGUGGAGCGUGGGUCACGAUUUCCGGCGACUCUGUGACGAAUUUCGGCGGUUUCUCCGGUGGAUUUCUCUGCUGUUCAACAGGGAAUUCCUAAGGAUAUGCUCCAGCAACAGUUUCUCUGCCAAGCUUCACGUAGUCGGUGCCAUCAAGAACUACAUUAGUAAUUGCAGUUUCUGCACCACACGGGUCUGCAGAAACUGCAGUUUCUACAGAAUGCAGUAAAACGAGCAAACGCGGUGGUCAAACAGAGGACGUGGAACGCCAACCACCCAGUCGGUCACAACGUGUCUCAUGCAUGUCCUGUUCUUGAUAUUGGUUUGCUACCUAGAAUUGGCAACGUGGACGUCCAGCAAUAUCACAUGCGUCGUGGGGGUCUCUUUCCAGUCUAUGCGUGCCAUAACAAGGUUUGGUGCCAACAGUAAACCUGCAGAAGAUGUGACCAAUCUAACGGCCUAUAGGAUGUUGCCGUUCGGUGCCGGGAGGAGAACGGAUUAUAGUUAUUUAUACAUGUCAAUUUUUGGAAGUGGAGGAUUUUAAAAAUUAUCAUCAUACAAUAUGAUGUUCAUAUGAGUUGGAAACAACCUAAAAACGAAGUGAUAUGCAUUAUAAAUUUGCAAGGAUGCCCUCUUUGGCUCUUUGAUAUAGUUAGUGUCUGGAAAAACAACACAACCAGUUUAAUUACUUUAAGUUGUUUUUCUUAUUAGCAAACUGAAGGCAAGGUCUUACAGGUCACGGCGUGCCUUUUUUCCCAACAUGGCAUGCGCAUGGUCGUGAUCGCCGACAUCCAAGGCCAACUGGGUCACCAAGUAGCCACAUCCAUUGGGUCAUUGUUCUUGAGCUUGACUUUUCACAGUUUGGCCUAUUCACCCAAACCACCCAAGAAGUUCGUCAAACUAUUCCAGAGAAUAACUGAGGCCUCACCACCGUAAAAUCGUCUACGUAGUCUUAGAAGUGCAAUACCGAGGUAGAGAUGAAGAACAAGUUCAUCAACCACGCGCGCAAUGUCUGGGACCGUGCGGUGUCGCUCUUGCCGAGAAUGAACCAGCUUUGGUACAAGUACAUAUACAUGGAGGAGAUGCUCGGCAACGUCGCUGGAGCCAGACAAGUGUUAAAGCUCUGACCAAGUCUCCGCUUUCUGUCCCAAAUGCAAGAGACCUUUGAGCUGCGUUUGUUUUGGAGGUCUGUAACGAUGGCUUGGUGAACGACGACGCGCGGUUCUAAGUAUAUCAGAGAAGGUAUAUGCGUUAAAAGUUACUAUGGGGUGAAACUCACCGUUUUGAGCAUGGAUAAUUUUGAAAAGCUGGCCUUUAAGUGGUCAUGUGAGCUGCACGUGACCUCUUUUUUUGUCAUUUUUGACAGACCAAGUGGACGGAAGGUUUUAAGUGCCAAAGUUGGUUAUAUCGGGGGGGUUAUCUAUC